Molecule: ribosomal RNA, 205 nt
Filed under: uncultured bacterium
Lineage: Bacteria
Description: partial 16S ribosomal RNA
Rfam family: Bacterial small subunit ribosomal RNA
Source: RNAcentral
AUUGCAGGCUGCAACUCGCCUGCAUGAAGUCGGAAUUGCUAGUAAUCGUAGAUCAGCAUGCUGCGGUGAAUACGUUCCCGGGCCUUGUACACACCGCCCGUCACACCAUGGGAGUCGGUAACACCCGAAGUCGGCAGCCUAACCGUAAGGAGGGCGCCGCCGAAGGUGGGAUUGAUGACUGGGGUGGAAGUCGUAACAAGGUAGC